AACGCAACUUGCGCCACUUGUGGCAUGUCUGUUUGAGUACCAAUUCUUUCUGCAGCAAUGCGACCUGGCCCAACCUCGUUUGGGCUGAAAAGAAUAUUUCGUACAGGACACCUGCGAAGCUAGAGACGCAAGUCUUGUUCGCAGCGUCCUUGGAUUCCGGUCUCAAAUCAGGCAAGAUUACCCGCUGAACUUAA
RNAcentral lists this unclassified non-coding RNA (194 nucleotides) under uncultured Paramicrosporidium. Its description in RNAcentral is "sequence contains ITS2". Lineage: Eukaryota; Fungi; Rozellomycota. The record is from RNAcentral.